UGAACAAUCAAAAGGUGAUCCUGCUCAAUGGUGGUAAUUAUAAAGGUUAAACCCUAGAAAUUUCCCCUCAAAAAGGAUGCGGGUAUACUACCGUAAUUAAUGUAGCAUAAUAAUUCGCCCAUUUAAUUAAUGGAUGGUAUGAAAGGUCAAACGAGUAUAUCACUGUCUUAAUUAGAGAUAUUGUGAAAAUAGGCUAAUAGUAAAGACACUAUUUUAAAUUGUAAGACGAAAAGACCCUAUAGAGCUUGACUAUAACUUUCUGGUAAAAAUAAAUUUAUUUAUUUAUUAGAAAGGUAGGUAGUUUAGUUGGGGUGACUGUUUUCUAUAACAAACGAGAACGAUCAAAAUUAAUCUGUUAAUUUACUGUAUAACUUAUAAGUUUAACAGUUAUCAUAAUAGGAGAAAAUGACCCGUUGCACAAAAUCAAUUACUGGCAACGAUCUACAAAUAAAAGCUACCUUAGGGAUAACAGGAUAAUAUUGCCUUAGAGUUCAUACA
This 498-nucleotide ribosomal RNA is filed under the name Velella velella. Its description in RNAcentral is "partial 16S ribosomal RNA". It matches the Rfam family "Bacterial large subunit ribosomal RNA", at positions 1874 to 2507 of the family's 2925-position model. Lineage: Eukaryota; Metazoa; Cnidaria; Hydrozoa; Anthoathecata; Porpitidae. The record is from RNAcentral.